UGCGCGCACCCUCUCAAACAUCUCCCGCCAUUCCCCAUCAGAUCUGCCCGUUAUCCUCCUGGGACUGCCACCCGCACCGCACAACCGCUCCAAUUCAACUGCCGUUCCCAAAAUUACCCCUUCCCUUCCCUUGUCAUCUCUUUCACACAUACGCAGACAACUCUUUGCUCUGUUGCGCUUGCUCCCGUCUGCCACCACCAUCCGCCCCGCCUGACCGCUUCAAUUUCACGCCUAUCAGCGACCUCCAUCUCCCUCCAGGAUUCCUGCGCCUUCUUCCCACACCCCCACCACUUGCUUUCCACAAUUACAACUCUCAGGGCCUCAACCCCUCCUUUGCUCGGAUUUCCAAAUGGAUACAUACCACUAUGCAGCCUUGUGCCUUUUUAAUCACGCUCACUUGGUUUUCUUGUGCAAUUAGGAGGUAACUUGAGCCGAAAAUUGAAGGGAUGGCAUAGUUGUGAAGAUUGAGUUAGAGUUUGCAACUAAGAAUCACUCCUUGGGCACUUCCACAUGAGGUGACAAGUUACAGCAUCUAUUUGAUGAUUUGAUGAAAACGCUCCCUAGAGGAUCAAUUGACAGAUGUUACUGUUCGCAUCGAUGGAUGUUGAUUUGGAGAGGACGUCAACAGAAAUCAUGACUACAACCUUGGAACUAUAGCAAAAUAAGACCCAACAAAUCUCGGGUUACUAUUCAAAACUAGGUCAACAUGGUCAACCAAACGACUCCGGAGCAUGACAAUUUAGGAGGUCCCAGGGUUCCCACACAGAUCACUGAGAGAAGCCGGUGAGGCCAGACAUCGCCUAAUCUUGGGUUAGCAAAAAUCAGCUCCUACAGCACUAUUCACCACCGAUUCAUCGGGCUAUCAGAAGGUUUGAAAGGCAGCUACGUGUGAAGCCAGCCCCCCGCCCCUGUAUCUUUUCUGCAUCCUAUUUUGAUUUCCCACUUCCAUAUCCAAAUCAAGAGGUAAUUUCUCCAUCCAAUUUCAUGUUGCUCCAUCGAAUUACAUCUCCAAUCUGGCGGUUAAGGUUAUUGAUAGUGCUUCCCUGUACUGGUUGAACUGAACUGCUGCUCUAUAGAUGUGUUAUUUUAUGUUGUUCUUUGUUCUGUGUUGUGCAAGUGAGCAAUUUUGCUUCUGUUGAGCGCUAUUCACAGCUUCUCCGUGUUUGCGCCAAGGAGUCUUAUGUCUAUGGUUCCACCAGUGCUUGGUCAAAUUACAUGUCGAAGCUGCCAAUGAUGGUUAUGAAUCGUGCUUGCCGUAUAGCAAAUCAAAUAUGACAUGCAUAAACAAGAGGAAGCGAUAACAUGCAAAUGAGGGGAUGGAGUAGAUGUUAGAUUAUACUGGGGUGCCCACUUUUUGACUUUGAAAAGUAAGUUUUUGUUGUAUAAUAAAUUGAGUUAAAGUUGAGUUGAAAUUUUAAAAUUCUAUUCUAAAAAA
Non-coding RNA from Punica granatum (pomegranate), 1435 nucleotides. Lineage: Eukaryota; Viridiplantae; Streptophyta; Magnoliopsida; Myrtales; Lythraceae. The record is from RefSeq and is a predicted model, not a curated record.